CAUCCGGUGAGGAGCCCGACUGCUUCGAGGACCCAGCCUUCUCCUCUCCCUACCAUCCCCCCCGCGCCUCCGGGGCUGGGGGACGGGCUCCACGAGGCAGAGGUGGGAGCAUCCUCAGGGUCAGAGCUGAACGCGUCGCCUCCGGAGCCUCCCAGCCCCAACCCAGGAAAGAGGCUGCUCCGGGGCGGGAGGCUGGGCUGGACCCCUCGCCUUGGAGAGCUUCAUUAGGACACCGGCGUUUUACUGGAAGAUGUGGGUGAUUUCCGCUCCUGGGGACCUUAGGAGGCCAACAAAGCCUGUCACCGCUUUACAGUUUGGAGACACAAUGUGGAUUUUCUGGUGGCCUGAGACGUCUUUCUUCCGCUGCGCAGCCUGACCAGGCAGCGAGGCUAGUGAAGCGGGGCUGCGAGGAGCCGGGCGGGCUGUGCGGCCCCCUUUCCAGCAGGGAGAACCCAGAUGCCGCUCGACCUGUCCUGGACCACGGAGCUAACUGGGAAUGCGUUUCUGGGAAAUUCUUCCAGAUUCGGGACCUCAAGAAAUCCACUAUCCUCCAUGGAGACAGACACCGUCAAGGACAAGCACCUGGACUAUCUCCUCCCCACAAAGAGAUACAGGCCGGUGGGAAAGCUGCUGACCAGCAAGGUCACGGGCUCCCUUCUCUCUGCAAGUGUCUCAAGGCCAAAGACAGGCUGGUGGGAAAGCUCCGACCAGCAAGGCCAUAUGCUCCCCUUCCCUACCUAAAACCCCAAAUAAAAACCCUUCCUUUUAGCUUUUCGGGGAGUUUGGGCUUUCAGCGUUAGCUGCCCUCUCUCCUUGCUCAGUGCUGUGCAAAAAUAAAAUGCCUCCUUUCUUCCGCC
This 857-nucleotide long non-coding RNA is filed under the name Equus caballus (horse). Its description in RNAcentral is "lncRNA (ENSECAG00000049919.1)". Lineage: Eukaryota; Metazoa; Chordata; Mammalia; Perissodactyla; Equidae. The record is from RNAcentral.